GUCAUUGGGAAUUUUGAUCCAAGCCUCUCCAGCAGGGCUUAGCCUUGAACAUUCAUCUGUAGUCCCUGGGAACCAGUGUGUGCUCAUUUGACUUCCCUCUAUCAGCUUCAGUUCAGUGGAAGCAGCAAGCAGACAUAGAAUUUCCUAUGUGAGUGAACGAUCAUAGCAGGAUCAGUAGCCAUGUGACAUUCUAAGACCUAUCUGUGCUUUAGUCAUCAAAAUGGACUGAGAUUUGGAAUACCAGGGAUUACCACAGAAGUCAACAUUAGAAAUGCAUCUCUCUAAGUUUCAGUUUAUUAGCCAGGGAUAUCAUGUCUUAGAUGUAGUUAUAGGGAUUAAAUUGUGUGUAAAACAUCUUUAAAAGUGCCUCACAGUGUAGAUUUCAAAUAAAUUCUAAAAUAUCAAAUGAUUCCCCCAAACCAUUUCCUCAGAGUAUUGGGAGCAGCACCAGGGGUCGCAGUGCUCUUAGCGGUUCUGUGACGGAGCUGUGACAGCUCUGCAAAUGAGUGAAGGCCUGUGGUAGCUGUGUUAGAUAGGACCAGGCUUGUGUGAGCUCCUAAACUGUACAGCUAUUUACAUAAUGUUUACAUUGUAUGGGGUAUGGUAGUUUUUAAGUCCACAGGAAGAUGUGUGCAGGUUAAACUUCAGCAGCAAAUGCAACUCCAUUUUACCUAAGGGAUUGAAAAAUCUGUGUGCUUUGGGAUCUGAGAAGUCCUAGAACCAAUCCCCCACAGAGGCUGGAGAACUGUGCUAAGAUUGCUAGCUGUGGAAGAUCAGAGCUAGAGAUUUGAUCGAGAUAAUUAGCUUAAGAGUUUAGAACCUUGUCUGCUGCCAGAGAGGCACAAGUAAAACUUAACACUAAAACGUAGAACAGCCCAUGUUGCCAGUAAUCAGGGAAAGAACAAACUAGUAGAUUCUGCCUAAACAUCAGAAAGGAAAAACCGAUGCCACAACUGGAGUGAGAGAAGCCAGAAGGAAGCGAAUAUGCAGGUUCCAGUUUAGAAGAGGAAACCUUCUCAUAGAAGGCAGGGACUCCUGGGGGAGUAGAGAUGGAGGGAUUGACUGUAAAGAGGCACAUGGGAAUAUUCUUUGUCUUAAUUGUGGCUGUGGUAACAACUGUAUAUAGUUGGCAGACCUCAAAAUUGUCCUGUUGAAAUGAGUAUUAUACAUAAAUUUUAUAAAUAAAGCUGAUUUUCUUUAAUUUUUUUUUAUUUUCAGUGCUGGCAUCUAACCCAGGGUCUCAAACAGUAUUAGGCAAGUGUACUGCUGAGCCUACUCCUGGCCCAAAUCAGACAAACACACACACACACACACACACACACACACACACAGCCAUUACUACUUUGUUGAUGCAGAAAUUAAAGCCAUGAAUGAAGUAAUGGAGUACAGUUAAGAUUGAAAGGCGCUGUGACCAAUUGGAGUGGACAAAGCCAUUGCAGUUUGCACAUGUGACUUGUGUGAGCAUAAGACAUUGGUCAGUUACUUGUAAAGAGCACAUCUACCCAAAACAUUGAGAGAAGCCAGGUAUAGGAGGACAUACUUACUGUGUGGCUAACUGACAUCUGGAUGGUUGCCAAGGAGGAACCUUGUGGGGUGAUAGCAACCCUAUACCUUGGCUGUUGGUUUUGGGGUUAACACAAGCAUUAAAACACUGAACUGUGGGGUUGGGGAUUUAGCUCAGUGGUAGAGCACUUGCCUAGCAAGCGCAAGGCCUUGGGUUCGGUCCCCAGCUCCGAAAAAAAAGGGGAAAAAAAACAAACAAAAAAACACUGAACUGUGCACAUGAGACCUGUGCAAUUGUAGGCCUCGUUUUAUAACUGAGGAGAAACUGAUGUGUUAAAUUAGCAUCUUAAGUACAUUUCAGUGGUAUUCAUUAAGUUUAUAUUCUACAACGUUCACUUCCCCUGGUUCUAGAGU
RNAcentral lists this long non-coding RNA (1917 nucleotides) under Rattus norvegicus (Norway rat). RNAcentral's name for it is "long non-coding RNA NONRATT029517". Lineage: Eukaryota; Metazoa; Chordata; Mammalia; Rodentia; Muridae. The record is from RNAcentral.